RNAcentral lists this long non-coding RNA (1144 nucleotides) under Pogona vitticeps (central bearded dragon). RNAcentral's name for it is "lncRNA (ENSPVIG00000010408.1)". Lineage: Eukaryota; Metazoa; Chordata; Lepidosauria; Squamata; Agamidae. The record is from RNAcentral.
AUGUUGUGCCUCACGGUUUUCAUUGCGCACGUCCUCAAGCGAUGGAUAGGCGGACCCAAUCCUGAUGUGGAUGAUCCUGCAAAGGAGGAGGGGAAAGGUGGAUCGCUCCUGCCGGCACAAGAAGACCAAGUGAGUUCAGCCGAAGAAAAUCUGGCAUCUGAGGUGUUAUUUUCAGUUGGGCAAUUAGAAGAACAGACAACUGAAUCACCAUCAGAUUCUCCUACCCCAGUAGCCAAAUUGAGGGACAAGCAUCGGCAAAGAUUCGUGACACAAAGAUCUGAAGCUCGCAUGAAAGCUUGCCACAGGGACAUUGGAUUUAAGAGUUCUAGGCAUUUGUUGGUUGCUGCUCCUAUAUAAUUUGUACCUAGAAGCAGUGGUGGGAUUCAGGUGGUUCGCACCGGUUCCACAGGACAGGUAUCUAAUGUACUAUCAGUUCUGUGGAACCGUUUGCUAACCUGCCGAAUCCCAACACUGCUCCCUCCCCCCACCCUCUCCCGCACCUCGUGAGCAAAGGGUGCGAGAGUGAGUGUGAGUGAGCGAGUGAGCCCUGUUGCGCAGCUUGGUCUGCGCACAAGCACCACCAGUGGAGGAGGAGGAUGGCGACCGAGAAACACGACCACCACCAAAGCACCACCACACAGGCACAUUUGAGGGAGAGGAGCACUGUGGAGCGGCACACACACCACACAGAGAGAGAAGGAGAAGCAACAGGAGGAAGAGGAGGAGGAGGAAUUGGAGGAAAAGGGGAGGCCACCCCGGACAGCCAACUGAGACAGAAGUAGCUCCAAACCAGCAUCCAACUCCACCUCAGUUCAUCUUUGUUCCCCCACAGAAAUGAAUGAAAUGUAUUGUGACUUAAAUCCCAUUGAUUUCAGUGAGAACAAAAAGUAUCUGACUAAAUCAGGAUAUAGCCUGAUGUAUAUGGUGGGGAAAAGAGUGUUUAAGGACAUAGAUUUUGUCAGUGAUAUCAAAACAUGAGAUAGCUGUCAAAAAGCUUGCCUCCUGAAACAGUUGUUUCUCAACAAGGGCUAGAAGCUUCUGUCCCUCCUUCUGAAUGCUCCAAAUUGAGUGGAUACUCAAGUCUGAUUACAGAGAAGAUUUUAACUGGGCAUGAAUAAAGUCAAAUAUGGGCAGAAAUGCUUCA